RNAcentral lists this ribosomal RNA (463 nucleotides) under uncultured Pseudomonas sp. Its description in RNAcentral is "bacterial SSU rRNA". It matches the Rfam family "Bacterial small subunit ribosomal RNA", at positions 231 to 686 of the family's 1533-position model. Lineage: Bacteria; Pseudomonadati; Pseudomonadota; Gammaproteobacteria; Pseudomonadales; Pseudomonadaceae. The record is from RNAcentral.
CUAGGUCGGAUUAGCUAGUUGGUGGGGUAAAGGCCUACCAAGGCGACGAUCCGUAACUGGUCUGAGAGGAUGAUCAGUCACACUGGAACUGAGACACGGUCCAGACUCCUACGGGAGGCAGCAGUGGGGAAUAUUGGACAAUGGGCGAAAGCCUGAUCCAGCCAUGCCGCGUGUGUGAAGAAGGUCUUCGGAUUGUAAAGCACUUUAAGUUGGGAGGAAGGGCAGUAAGUUAAUACCUUGCUGUUUUGACGUUACCAACAGAAUAAGCACCGGCUAACUUCGUGCCAGCAGCCGCGGUAAURCGAAGGGUGCAAGCGUUAAUCGGAAUUACUGGGCGUAAAGCGCGCGUAGGUGGUUCAGCAAGUUGGAUGUGAAAUCCCCGGGCUCAACCUGGGAACUGCAUCCAAAACUACUGAGCUAGAGUACGGUAGAGGGUGGUGGAAUUUCCUGUGUAGCGGUGAAA